UUGAAUCCUCAGGAUGUUGCUGGCCUUUCGGGGCAUGUGCACUCCGCCUUUCAAUACACCUGUGAACUUAUUGUAGGUGCAGAUGUAACAAGUCUGCUGCCUAUGUUUUUAAUACACUCUUAAAAAAGUAUAUUGAAUGUCUAAAUGUGGCCUUUGACGGUCAACAAACUUAAUA
RNAcentral lists this unclassified non-coding RNA (175 nucleotides) under uncultured Clavariaceae. RNAcentral describes it as "sequence contains ITS1". The record is from RNAcentral. Lineage: Eukaryota; Fungi; Basidiomycota; Agaricomycetes; Agaricales; Clavariaceae.